Molecule: ribosomal RNA, 483 nt
Filed under: uncultured bacterium
Lineage: Bacteria
Description: partial 16S ribosomal RNA
Rfam family: Bacterial small subunit ribosomal RNA
Source: RNAcentral
GAUGAACGCUGGCGGCGUGCCUAAUACAUGCAAGUCGAGCGAACCACUUCGGUGGUGAGCGGCGAACGGGUGAGUAACACGUAGGUGAUCUGCCCAUCAGACGGGGACAACGAUUGGAAACGAUCGCUAAUACCGGAUAGGACGAAAGUUUAAAGGUGCUUCUGGCACCGCUGAUGGAUGAGCCUGCGGCGCAUUAGCUAGUUGGUAGGGUAAAGGCCUACCAAGGCAACGAUGCGUAGCCGACCUGAGAGGGUGAACGGCCACACUGGGACUGAGACACGGCCCAGACUCCUACGGGAGGCAGCAGUAGGGAAUCUUCGGCAAUGGGCGAAAGCCUGACCGAGCAACGCCGCGUGAAUGAUGAAGGCCUUCGGGUUGUAAAAUUCUGUUAUAAGGGAAGAACGACUUUAGUAGGAAAUGGCUAGAGUGUGACGGUACCUUAUGAGAAAGCCACGGCCAACUACGUGCCAGCAGCCGCCGUAA